ACUCUUAAAUAAAAUUGUAUAGAAACUUUUCAUUACCAAAUAGUCUGCAACAAAUCACAUUACGCUCCAUAAUACAUUGUCAUUGUAUAUACACAUGGAAAAAGAACAUCAAAUGUGUUCGAACUCCUACUUAUUAAAUAACCUUAUCCCUUCUCUAUUUUAAGAAAAAAAAAACAAAGGAAUACGUCUUCAAACUAUUCCAAUAUGUUCAAGUUACUCUAAUGUCUUCAGGCCACUCCUUGAGCAACUUCAUUUCCCCAUUGUUGAAGUACUAUCUCCUUUCUAUUAAAAAAACAAAGAAUAACAGUAAUAUAUGCAUGCAUACAAAAAAGAGUUGAUCCUAAGCCAAGUACUAAAUGAAAGCAUAUAAAAAGGAAAUGUCUACUACAACCACAGAGAACUAUGGCAAGUGAAUAUCUUUCAAAAAAUUUAUGCUCAUCCAAACUGGGAUUUUAAGCGAAAGUUGGGUCUUCCGAUACGCUUUUUCGAAGGUGUAAAAGACUUUUUCAAGUUUGACUGAAUUUCCACUGUAAGCCUAGUGGAAGAAAUAAUAUUAAGUUUUGAACAUAAAAUUGUUUGUGCAGCCAAAAGAUCCAGAAACAUAUUCAGUUAUAUCUAGUAGAAGGAACAUUGAUUGCAUUUCCCUUCUAGUUCUUAUCUCAAGCUAUAAACUCACACUAUGCUAUCUUGUCAGCAAUGGAACCUUUAUAUGGUGAUCAACAACAGAGUAAGCAAGAAAUUUAAGCUAAAUUUUACCGUGUAUUAUGAAACUUACUGAAACAUAUCUGGUGUUCAGUGAACAAAAAUAAUUUUAUUAACAGAUUUUGAUACUAAAGAAAAAAAUAGCAUAUACCAGUAACUUCCCAAGAUCCUUUCCUAUGAAUCUGGUUUGUUAAGUACUUCUCUGUAAUAAGGAUUUUGCAUAAAAAAGUAAAAUCUACUGGAGUAGUAUUUUCUCUUUGGUUUAAGACCAGAAAUCAUGCCAAAUAGCAUUAGUUGUGAUAUAAUAUGUCCUUCUAUUUAAAUAUGUAAGGAAAAAAAGGUCAUAGGAAAACAUGAGCUCAGAGUAGAUAAUAAGGCAUAUGCAACUCAUAUUGCAUUGAUAUAGUCAGUUCAUUAGAAGACAUUUUAUGAAAUUCAACCAUUUCAAAGCUCAGAAGUUAGUUCUAGAAUAGGCACUCCUCCUGGCCUAACAACUUUUCUAUAACUGACUUCAAGAUACAAGAAGGAAAUGGUUGAAUUUCCUUUAUCACAUGUCAUAAGGAAAUGGUAAUUAAUAAAAAACAGAAGGAAAGGAAGGAAAUCACAUGUCAACCUAUCUCAAAACUCAUCUAAGUCAUUAAAAACAUGAAAAGUCUUAACUAUGUCAUAAGGAAAGAAAAAUUUCAAUUUCUAUUUAAUGAAAGACUUAAUACACUUAGGACAGAGAGAAAAAAUAUAUUUUGGUAUGUUACCAACAAAAUGUCAUCUUUUACUUGAGACAAAGUCAAAAAUCAUAAUUUUGAUAAUGACCUAGAACUGUUAUCACCUGGCAUCUGCCCCUCCAUUUCUUAAAUGUGCAAAAUAAAUCACAGUUGUACAUUUUUAAAAUAGCUUUAACUGCAUAUCACUCUCUCUCAAAUCAUAAACUUAUGCCAAAAUAUUCAAAUCAAUGAGUAACUUUAUGUUAAAAAUUUGUACCAUGCCAAGCAUAUGAAAAGGAAAACACUCAUGGAAGAGGCAAGAAAAAUUAAAGUGCAUCUCCACCCAAAUACAAUAGACUAAGAACUAACACAAAACUUAAUAAAGCCACCAACUAGAAGAACAAAAGCAAGGUUGAACAUACGAUUUUCCAAACAAGGUUUCGAAAUUUGUAGAUUAUUAAAAAGAAUAAAACAAAAAUAAAGAAAUUAUCUUAUCUUUAGUUGAUUCUACAUAUUGACUAUUGUUUCAUGGAAUGUAGAUAUAAGAUUUUAAUAUUUGGCAAUAAUUUCUUUCCUAUAUGAAACGAUAAUUAAAUAUUGCUCGAUUUACCAGAUUUCAAGUUCAAAUUUUAAUAAAAGUUAACAGAAAUCAACACCAAUUGUAAUAAAGGGAGCCUCAAACAAACCAAGGUAUUUUCUAAUUUAUUCUAUAAUAUAAUUUAAUGGUGGAAGAUUGCUUACAGUAAACGAUGAUGAUAUCAGCAUCUGCUUCUUAAAAUCAGGUACUAUCUGCUCAAACUCGUCAAUCAUCACCGAUGGUCCGUAUAACUGAGAAUUAGGAAAAUAUUUUCAUGCGUGUAGAAUUUUUAAUAUUUUACGACAUGAGUAAUUGGAAACACCAUAUGCACAUCCAAAUGAGGAUCUGUUAUAGGGCACAAUGAACCAAAAACAAUUUCAAUUAAGCAUCAUCCUUCUCUAGUAAGUUAUUUCAAUUUAAGUAGAAACCAAUUUAUGUUCCAAUACAAAAUAUCGUAAUUUACUUUACCAAUCAAAAUAGAGAUCUCCAGUUUACUUAACAGAUAGUGAGCUCUAAUACCACCAACCUACUCCCAAAAAUUAAGAGGCAAAAUCAUCAGCUACGAGCAACAAAUUGAGAGGAACUCCAUUCCUUGGGAAAGUAUCAUAGAAAGGCCACUUGUCCACAUGCUUUGUCAAGAAAAUAUUGAUAAAAUCUUAUCAUGCUUUGUCAAGAAAAUAUUGAUAAAAUCUUCUCAUGCUUUGCCAAAAAAAUAUUGAUAAAAUCUUCUCAUGCUUUGCCAAAAAAAUAUCGUCUCAUACCCAGCAUGAAAAAUCUCAAAUGUACUCCAUAAUUGUCAAUUACUCCUUCCAAUUUUCAUCUAGUCCCGCUCUCGCCAUUUUUAUUUAGGUUAAGAAAAUAGCAAAAACUUUUAGAAAGGGGCUUUUUUCACUAUAGAGUUGAAAGACUUCAAGAUACAAGAAGGCAAAGAAGAAAUAGAAUAGAAGAACUUAUUUAUAUUUGCACGAACUAAGAUUCACAGUUAAAACAGAGCCAAAGGUAAGAAAUCUAAAAGGGAAGAGAGAGAUAGAGAGAGAGGAACCGACAGAAAUAUUUACUGGUAAAGGAAUUGUCGAUGAGUUCGCCGGGUCACAGCAAAGGGAUAGAGGAUCCAAAAGUUCACAGCCGAGGGAACGUUGUUGAGAAGUGUAUUGUAGAAAAUGAUUUUGGCGGUGUUUUCUCUCGUUUGUCUAGGGUUUGUUUUUGUAAUCUUUCAUUUUAAAACCAAAAGCAUUAGUGACAAAUUCGCUGCUACAAUAGAUGGGUAUAUCUAGGGGCGGCUUCCAAGUCGCUACAACAACCUCAUAUUAGUGGCGACAAUUCAUCAGUCGCCACAAACGAAUCUUUUAGCCAAAAUUUAUUUUUCAAGUGAGGAAAAAUUUUGAUUUUAGUUGCACCUAUUUGUGGCUCUUUUUUUAUCGCCACUAAUAUGUUACUUAAUGUGGCAACUAUCCAGGUCACCACUAAAACCCUUAGUAUUGUGACAACUCUUUUCGUCGCCAGAAAAGGUUUCCACCGAAAACCAUAUUUCUUGUAGUGUAUAUAUAAUUGAAAAACAGUAAAAGAAAUGAAACAAUCUUG
Molecule: long non-coding RNA, 3561 nt
Filed under: Nicotiana tabacum (common tobacco)
Lineage: Eukaryota; Viridiplantae; Streptophyta; Magnoliopsida; Solanales; Solanaceae
Description: long non-coding RNA (NTAB_LNC003664)
Source: RNAcentral